UACGUAGGGUGCAAGCGUUAAUCGGAAUUACUGGGCGUAAAGCGUGCGCAGGCGGUUUUGUAAGUCUGUCGUGAAAGCCCCGGGCUCAACCUGGGAAUUGCGAUGGAGACUGCAAGGCUUGAAUCUGGCAGAGGGGGGUAGAAUUCCACGUGUAGCAGUGAAAUGCGUAGAGAUGUGGAGGAACACCGAUGGCGAAGGCAGCCCCCCUGGGCCAACACUGACGCUCAGGCACGAAAGCGUGGGGAGCAAACAGG
RNAcentral lists this ribosomal RNA (254 nucleotides) under uncultured bacterium. RNAcentral's name for it is "partial 16S ribosomal RNA". It matches the Rfam family "Bacterial small subunit ribosomal RNA", at positions 524 to 776 of the family's 1533-position model. The record is from RNAcentral.